GACGGUUAGCUGAGACCCGCCGUGAGGAUGCGGGUGAGGCCGAGGCCCGGCUCCCCCUCUGAGACGGCGCUGCAACCCGCCGCGCCUACCUCCUCCCGAAGCCGCGGGAAGACGCAGGUGCCGCUGGACCACCCUCCACCUACGCCCUGCGGCGCCGCCCCACCCCGCCCCCGGGCACCUGCGGGAGGCGGGGACCGCGGCGGAGGCACCUGCGGAUUCCGCUGAGCCAGGGCUGGUACCCUCCUCGCCCCCGUAGGUCUGCGCUUAUUUGGGGGGGAAAAAUUAAGAGCGAGUCUGAUUCUUGAGAAUUACUGCUGAAUGGAUGGAUGGACGGACUUUUGGAAUGAAGAACAUCCCAGGAGCAAUGGAAAGAAGAGAAGUGGGAGACUAUGGAGGAUAAUUUCAUUUGGAUAUGUUUGUUGGAUUUGUAGAGUAAACUAGAUUGACAGGAGUCCUCAAAAACUAGCAAGUAGAAAUGCAGGAUAUGAUUACCUUUCUCUUAACUAUAUGCACUCUUAAAUGGACAACCUAAAAGAUACUCAAGGGAUUCAACUUAAGAGCCGGAAACUAGUUGGGGUGAUGUACACCUGUUGAGCCUAGCGCUCUGGAGGUGGAGAGAGGAAAAACCCAGCUGGAGACUGGGGGGUUGCAUAAAGGGGGCGGGAUCCCUAAGCACAUUCUUCUGCCUAAAACCCAUAAGUGAAUAUUCCAAGAAAACAAAAUGUUCCAUCAAUGAAUGAGGAAUAUUAAAGAAUCUCUAAAAAACUAAAACUAGAAAGGAUUGAUAUGCUCGGUUUAUAGUAGAGCAGUUGUAGCUGGUAAGUAGAGUAACAGACAAAAACAUCCUAAAAUGAAAAGUGGACCCAAAUAUUGCAGCAUUUCAAUGACAAGUUUUAGAAGGAACAUGUCUUCAUAUUUUUAAGGGCCCACUGAGUUCUCAGAACUAACUAAAACAAAAAUCCCUUCUUACACAAAGCCUAGGAAAAAAGGAAUGGAGAUUUUAGGUAUGAACAGCUAUCUCUAAAACAGUGUAAAUUAGACUGCCAUUCGAGUAAAACCUACCCAGCUGAAUCUUUUUCCGUUGGCAAGCCAACAUUAAGAGAGUGGAGUUAAAAUGUUUUCAGGAAAUAGCACACUGGAUGACUCCCUUAAAAAGGAUAUCACUUCAGAUUCUCAUACCCAGUGAUCUGUGAUAACCAAGGUAAUACGCCUAGCACCAAGGAGUCUGUAUAGGUUAACUGUAUUUUAUUCCUACUGAGAAAGUUAACUUUUUCCCUAUUUUCAGGCUGUCCUCAAACUUGAUGAGAUUCUCCUGCUUCUACUAUGGACAGAUUACAGUGUUUGAUACAGGCUGCAAUAGAAGAAUUGAUGAAUAAUA
This 1378-nucleotide long non-coding RNA is filed under the name Mus pahari (shrew mouse). Its description in RNAcentral is "RIKEN cDNA 4930518J20 gene (MGP_PahariEiJ_G0003667.1)". The record is from RNAcentral. Lineage: Eukaryota; Metazoa; Chordata; Mammalia; Rodentia; Muridae.